ACAUUAUCCAACCUCUCCUCUUUUCCUCUCUGCUUUUUUUUUUUGUUUCUUUGUUUGAGUGGUGAGUACUAAUGAAUGAGUAUGAAACCAGCCAGCCAGUCAAGAGUCAAUGAUUUUUGUUUCUGCAAAAUAAUACAAUGUCAUGCAAGUCAAGGUCAACUAAACGAGUGACAUGUAGUUUGAUGAAUUGUUCUGUUAGGCGGGAAGACUUUGAGUGAAAAAGACACCACCGUUUUUACUUCCUUACCUAACAAGUAACAACUGAAGAGUUUAUAGAGGACAAAAGAGUAAUUUCACAUUUCUACCCUUCAUUGCUUCAGAACCAAUAAACACUCUUAAUGGAAGGUUGAUUUCACAUGGUAGUCGUUGACUUGCCCAAUAUUAAACUUUAAAACUCUGUAUUAGAUAUUUAGAUGCAUAUCAACUGACUAGUGCACAAUAGCAAUACAUGCAUCUGUCCAUCUUCCUAGCUUCCAAGUUCCAACCAAAGAUACAGAAGAUAAAUUUGAAAGCAAUAAAAUUGAGGAAACAACUGUGUAUCUUGGGCCCAAUGCCAAUCUGGGCUUUUAAAGUACAAACCCAUGAUGUAGAUUUUAAAAGUACAAACCCAUGACGUGGGUUUUAAAAUAGCCUCUUGGUGUUCAAUGGUGAUGAGCUUUGUGUUUUUCGCCAUGCAUAUGUCUUAAAAAGACGUUGGGUUCGAAUACAACACGGAAGAGAGAUUAACAUGAUAAACAUGAAAACAACACAAGCUUUAGAGAGAGAUAAAAAUAAUAAACAUGCACGCAAUAUAGAACUUUAGAGAUAAUUUACUUUAUUAAGAAACAACCUAUUAGGUACAAGACCAACGUUUUUUUUGGUCAUUCAGUGACCAAAGCUAUAAUCUUUAGUAUUGUUUUGUUAAAAGUUAAAACAUAGAACAGAAAAUAAAAAUACAAAAACAUGAAUCAUCUAUAGUUAAACUAAAACUAUAGUUAAAAGAAAGCAAAAUAAUAUAAAUCCUUUAACAAUUAAAUAAGCUUACAAUUUUUAAAAUAAAUAGUUCAAUAAAUUGAUAAAUUUUUUUAAUAAAAACAUGAAAAUUUAUUUAAUUUCAGUUGAGAAUAAAAAUAUUUUAAAUAUAUUUAUAUUAUUUGUUCAUUUGUUUACUUGUCCGAAGGGCAGGCCUACCCUAGUGUAACAUAUAAAAAUGUUAGAUUCAAUAAAUUUAAGCUCGGGACCUUCAUAUAAUUAAUCAAUAAAUUAAUAUUAUUUUAAAAUUAAUUCAUUGAUUUUAUAUUAGAACAUUACAAAAUAAUUAUAUUGAUUAAUUUAGUAUUUCACUUAUAAUUUAUGAUUUAAUUUGUUAUUUAUAAUUUCUGUUAUUAUAAAAUAACUUUAAUAAUUUUUUAAUUUUUAAUAUAUAUUUUAUUUUUUUUAUAAAUUUUUGUAAUUUUAUUAACUUUGAUCAAUCUUAAAGAUUAUAAUACAAAUAAAAAAUAUUUUUGAAGUAAGAAUUAAGGUUUCACUAUUGGAGGAAACCACUCUCAAACCUCCCGUUUAAGGUUUACCAAAUCUUAAAAAUAAGGUUGUUUGUGGAUAUGUGAUUAGUAGUAUAUACAGAAAAUUUUCUUCUUUUUUUGACAUCAUAAAGUAAGACUUUAUAAAUUGAUAAUGUUGAGAUAUCAUAGUUUAUCUAAGACACUAUUAGUCUAAAUUCUUAAGUUAUACAAUUUUAUCCUUCUCGUUAUACAUUUCAUUUGACAUUUUAAAACCCCCAAUUGUAAGCAUUCUGUACCUGAUUAUCACACAUGCAUUAGUUAAUUGCAUUACAAUGAGUUGAAGUUACCAAAAAAAUAUCCCUAGGAAUUGACAUAGCCAAGUCUCAACACAGGUUUUGAUUGUUCAAAAAAAAUAUUUUCUAAAAAACAAAUAACAAAACACCUGAAAAAUGAAAGCAUAAACUCGACGAUGUAAUAAAAAGAAUUUCAGUUUGAAAAACAAUAUAUGGGCCAGUCAAGUGACACAUACACAACCAAAAUACACAUGUCUCAAGUGACAUACACAAGCCCAUAAUGUAUACGUGUCCAGGUCAACAGAAACUAUUCGUCUAGCCUUGAAGAAGCAUAUAUAUUAACCCUAUAUUAUUUGUAAUAUUUAAUUUACAAGUUAAAAAAACAUUUUAAAUUUAAGUAAAAUAUCUUAAGGAUGGCUGAAACUUAUUCGUUAAGGCUACAUACAAUGUAGGUAGAAUUAUCUAGUCCUAAUCUCACAUAAGCAUCAAAGGGAAAUAUAAUAUUUGACAACUUUUGGAAAUAUUUUUUUCUUUUUUAAUUAUAAGAACAAAAGGAAGUUUUCUUAAAAGAAAAUCUAAAAAUAUGAAGUUACAUUGAAAUGUAUCUGAAAUAAAAAUAAACAGAAUCUCUUAGUUGGCUAAUUACCUUCAAAUAAAACAAUUAUGGAAAAAAUCUUAUCCAGCAAAUUUUAUCAAACCUAUAUAGAAAUUUUAUUUUCUAUUUUUUAAAAUUCAAUACUAUAUUAGUGUAUUGUAAAUUUUGGUUUUCAGUAAGAAUUUUGAAAAUAUUCUAGAAAUAUAUUUUCAUAGCUAUUUUAGACCUUUUUAGAUAAAUAUUAAAAUCCAAAAUGUAAAUAAUUUUCAGAGAGGCAUCAAUGAAAGGAUAACAAGAUUGUGUAUAAAUUUUAAACCUCUAGAGUCCUCCAAAGACACUUCUGUGCUCUCAUUAACAAUCUUUAUCCCUCUUUUUCUCUUAUAGUUCAUUCUUUUGUUAUUUCAAUACUCCAAGAUCAAUGAGGGGUAAAUAUAUGCCUCCAAGGAAAACAGUUCGCAGAAGAUCUCCGUCACCUGAACCAUCUGGAGAGAGUUCAACAGAUGAUGAAACAAACGAAGUUGAGAGAAAAGUCCCCUUCAAUGUUGCUCUCAUGAGACCUCGGCCAUUUAACCCAUUUGAUGAGGAUGAUUCAACGGACAGUGAAGCAACGGACACCGAAGCAACAGACAGUGAAGCAACGGACAAUGAAGCAACGGACAGUGAAGCACUGGACAGUGAAGCAACGGAGAGUGAAGCAACGGACAGUGAAGCAACGGACAACGAAGAGAACGAAGUUGCGAGAGAAUCUCCCAAAGCUCCUCGCAUGAGAGUUAGGGCACGAGAACCAUCUGAUGAGGAUGAUUCAACGGACAGUGACGCAACAAGUCAAGAGGAGUUAAAAGUGAGUCCAAAGAAGAACAAUGAUGCAGUAAACGAGCCGCCGAACAAGAAGAGAAGACUGCAUAGGAGGAAGAUGUAUACCCCUCGAAGAUUUAUUUCCCCAGAGGCAGAAGUUAACCAGACUGAUGCAAAGCCGUGCAACAGUGGGGGAUCAAAGGAGAGCCAUUCUGAUUAACAUGUCGCCCCAGAAGAACCAUAACCAAGACGAAUCAGAAACAAUGGCUUAUCCAAUAUCUAUGUUCUUAUCUUUUAUUUUAUGGACUUUAUUUCGGAAUUUGAAUUUUGCUUUUAAGUUAUCUACAUGCUGAGAUAUAAUAAAGUUUUUCAUUUCAACCUCAAACGUCUUGAUUGAAUCUGAAAAAUAUUAAAGAUAUAACCAAACAUGUGAUUGAAAAAACCCCAACCCCUAUCCAAAUCUUCCGAUCAACACCAAUGUUUUUGUUUUACACAACCUAAAAACUGUCAAAAUUUUCUUAUCUUUAAGAAAGUUUUCAGUUCUCCUAACUCACCAACUCUCACGAACCCUAAAGAGUGGAAAAUCUCUUGAACCUUCAAUCUUAAUAAAAUCAAUUGAAGUAUCUGUGUCGUUUUUUUUAACUUUAAAAGUUUCAGUGUUUGCCUUUUCAUAAUCAAACUACAUAUUGACACUUAAAACCUCCUAAUUUUAAGCAUAUUGUACCUGGAUGAUCACACAUGUAGGGGCGGUUCUAGAAUCUAUUUUCAUCCAGGGCAGCAAGGCAUAAGACCACAUCAUAAGGGGCAACAUAAAAAUUCUCUGAACAAUUACACUUAUUUUCACGAGAUUCGCCCCUGCACGCAUGCACUAGUUAAUUGCACUAUAAUGAUUUGCAGUUUCCAAUAAAAUUCUCCCUAGGAAUUGAAAUAGCACAGGUUGAUUGUUCAACAAAAUUAUUUUUCAAAAACAAAUACAAAAAAUACCUGAAGCUUGCAAACAUAAAAUGGAGAAUGUAAUAAAAGGAAUCUCUGUUGGAAAAACAAUAUAUGGGCCAGUCUGAGUGACAUACACAAAAUCAAAUUACAUAUGUCUCAAGUGACAUACACAGGCCCAUGAUAUAUACACAUGUCCAGUUAGAGGUGGGCGUUCGGGUAUCCAUUCGGGUUCGGUUCGGGUUUAUUCGGGUUUUGGGUUUUCGGAGUUAAAAAUUUCAGCCACAUUCGGGUAUUUCUAAAUUUCGGUUCGGGUUUGAUUCAGAUAACCCAUUUAAAUGAUUUUUAAAAUUUUAAAAUUCAAUAUAUUGUUUAAAUUUCUCAAAUUCUGAAAAUAAAAUAAGAUAUUACAUAUAAAUUGGAAUAACAUAUGUUAGAAUACUUAAACUUAGCAUAUAAAUUAGUUUGGUUUGAAUAUUUUGCUAGAGAAUCAGUAGUUAUUUCAAAUAUUUUUGGUGUUUUGAGUAUAUUUUAGCUAUUUUAGACAUUUACUUUUGACUAUUUGUAUAUAUUUUCAAGUAUUUUAGACAACUUAAAAAUAUCUUAUAUAUUUUUAAUAUUUUUAAUAUACACAAAAUCUAAAAAUAAUUAAUAUAUUUAGAUAUAAAAAUCUAUUUCGAAUAAAUUCGAAUACCCGAAAUACUUCGGUUAGGGUCAGGUUUGGUUUCGGUUUUUUGGAUACCAAAAUUUUGAACCCGGUCGGAUAAUUAAUCAAUUUCAGUUCAGGUUCGAUAUUACUUUUUCGGAUCAGAUUCGGUUCGUUUCUUCGGAUUUAGGUUUUUUGCCCAGCCCUAUGUCCAGUUCAACAGAAACUAUGUGUCUAGCCUUGAAGCAUUGAUAUUAUUUGUAAUAUUUAAUUUACAAGUUAAGAAAAAAACAACUCAAAUUUAAUUAAAAUAUCUUAAGGAUGGCUGAAACUUAUUCGUUUAGGCUACAUACAGUGUAAGUAAAAAUUAUCUAGUCAUAGUCUCACAUAAGCAUCAAAGGGAAAUAUAAAAUUUGACAAUUUUUGGAAAUAUAUUUUUCUUUUUUAGUUAUUAGAACAAAAGGAAGUUUUCUUUAUGUAAAAUCUAAAAUUAUGAAUUUACAUUGAAAUGUAUCUGAAAUAACAAGAUACGUAAUAUCUUACUUGUUUAGCUAUCUUCAAAUAAAACAAUUAUGGAAAAAAUCAUAUCCAGCAAAUUUUAUCAAACAUAUAUAGAGUUAAUACUGUAUUAGUUUACUGUAAAAUUGUGUGUUUUAGUAAUAAUUUUGAAAAUCUAGAAAUAUAUUUUCAUAGCUAUUUUAGAUCAUUUUAGAUAAAUAUUAAAAUAUAAAAUCGUUAAUAAUUUUCAAAGAGAUGUUGGAGAGAGAUUACAUCCCUCAACAAAGCUCUUCAAAUGCAAUUUUUGGCCUAAUUUGAACAUGCAAAUCAGGGAGAACUCGGCCCUACACAAUCCGGCCCACUACAUUCGGCCCAACCGGAUUAGGUCAGCGCAAAGUGAGGGCUUAGAAGCGCCGAGUAUAAAGGAAAAAGGAAAGCACAAGAAGAAAAGACAUUCAGAAGCCAGACAAGACUAGAACGGCUAGAAAUAUGGUUUAUCAUCUUUAAUCCUUUAUUCUAGCCAGAAACAUUUUCUUUUAUCUUAACAUUACCAAAACUCUCUUGUAAUCUCCGACCAGAUUGUUUAACAAAACGUCUUUCAAAUAACUCACCACCUUGUUCGCUCACUCUCUAAUUACACACCGAACACUGAUUAAACAAGAGACAUCAAUGAAAGUAUAACAAGAUUUUAUAUAAAUUUACUCCAAGAUCAAUGAGUGAUAAAUAUAAGCUUCCAAGGACAACACUUCGCAGAAGAUCUCUGUCAGCUGAGCUAUCUGGAGAGAGUUCAACAGAUGAUGAAGCAAACAAAGUUGAGAGAAAAGUCCCCUACAAAGCUCUUCUCAUAAGACCUCGGCCAUUUGAACCAUUUGAUGAGGAUGAUUCAAUGGACAGUGAUGCAACGGAUAGUGAUGCAACGGACAAUGAUGUAACAAGUCCAGAGGGGUUGAAAGCGAGUCCAAAGAAGAGCAAUGAUGCAAUAAACGAGCCGUCGAACAAGAAGAGAAGACUGCAUAGGAAGAAGAUGUAUACCCCUCGAAAAUUUAUUUCCCCAGAGGCAGAAGUUAACCAGACUGAUGCAAAUCCGUGCAACAGUGGGAGAUCAGAGAAGGCCCUUUCUGAUCAACGUGUCACCCCAGAAAAACCAUAAACAAGACGAAUCAGAAUCAAUGGCUUAUCCAAUAUCUAUGUUCUUAUCUUUUAUUUUAUGGACUUUAUUUCGUAAUUUGAAGUUUGCUUUUAGCUUAUCUGCAUGCUGAGAUAUAAUAAAGUUUUUCAUUUCAACCUCAAACGUGUUGAUUGAAUCUGAAAAAAAAAGUUUGGGUGUAAUAUCUCAUCUUCAAACCACAAAAUCAGCCCAUUUGUUGUUCCUUCCUUUUCUGUCUUCGAAAAAACAAGAUUGACACUAACCAAACAUGUGAUUGAAAAAACCCCAACCCCUUAUCCAAAUAUUCCGAUGAACACCAAUGUUUUUGUUUUACACAGCCUAAAAACUGUCAAAAUUUUCUUAUCUUUAAGAGAGUUUUCCAUUCACCUAACUCACCAACUCUCACAAACUUAUUAUACUCCUGAAUAUGAAACCAAGGAUACUGAUAUCUUGGCAGCAUUCCGACCCUAAAGUGUGGAAAAUCUCUUGAACCUUCAAUCUUAAUAAAAUUAAGUGAAGUAUUUGUGUCGUUUAUUUUUAUAAUUUGAAAGUUUCAGUGGUUGCCUAUCAUAGUCAAACUACAUUUUGGACAGGACAUUUAUGUACACAGGAAAAGAAGGAUAUGUGAAAACUGAAGUGCAGUGGUUAGUAAUACUGAAUCCAGAGAUGCAAGGGAUCUCUUUUACAGUUUCCAUUAUGAUGAUGUGUUUGCUGACUCAGUAAAGCACAGUUGCAUUGUGCAUUUCGUGCCAGAGAAUAAGCAAAUUAAAUUCCAAACCGUAAGGAGCACCCUGGCCUUAUUGUGCAAAAGGUUUAUAAUAUCGCUAUAGAAGAAGCUGUGGAAGUUCAUUCAUAAUGAUUUAAAUGAGGAUCAAAGAAGUGAGAUUGAUUUUCAUUUGGAAAAGACGAUUUCAUGAAUUGGUGAUCUUCCGGAUAUUGAGAAUAAGCAAAUGACUUAAAAAGUUGAGAGAAAGAGUCCUUGAAGCUGUAAUUUGGCAAAUGCACCUUGUUACUGAUAGCAGGAGUAAGUAUAGUUUUUUGCUCUAUCAUUUUUCUUGUUUUUUUUUUAUAUAUUAAGCAAUUUUGUUUUGUUUCAAAAAAAAAAGAAGCAAUUGUGUUUAUACACUAUUAUAAAUAGGGUUUUCACUUACAGGUUUACAUCAUCGUAUAGAGGAGGAAAACUGGUUUUUUUUUAAUACAUCAAGUAAUUUUUUUAUACACUAUUAUAAAUAGGAUUUUCACUUGAAGGUUACAUUAUCGUGUAGAGGAGCAAAACGGUUUUUGAUGAGGACUGGCUAAGCUAGCGUUGAUGGUGACAGUAUGACAUUUGUCAUAAAACAGUAUUUCAAAAGUUAAGACAUGCUGGUUUCUUACACGAGAAAAUGCUGGUUUCUCUCACUUAUUUUUGUCUUUUUCUGAUUUUUUUAUUCUUCACAUACUGUCUUAAAGACAUGCCUUGCAGAUGCUCUUAUGAGUCUUUUGAAAUAUAUAUACAAAAGUACUGGAGGUGCUAGUUCAUAAUAUCAAAGUUAGUUUAAACAUUUCUUUUUCAGUUUUUGGUAUAUGUGUGUGCACUGUGCAUGAUGAACUUCUUAGAAUCGUUAGGUAUUGAUAAUAUUUCACCUUAGGAUGUUAAAUAGGGGUUUUAAUCUCUGAUUCUCAGCAUUUAAUUUAAGUUCAGCCGUAAAGGAACCCUACUUCUUUUUAGAUCCCACCAAAAUUUGCAAAAGAGGAUUAAACCCUUUUAACUCAUAAACCCUUUAUUUUUUUCAUGUGAAUAUAUUUCAUAUAAUUUAGAGCAAUAUAUAUCUUCACAAAUAUAAAAUUAGUUAAAUCCAUAUAUACAUAAAUCAAAAUAAAACAUUCAAUUCAUCUAUUAAUCAAUGUAAAAGUCUGUUUUUUUAUGAAAUAUCAAAUGUAAUCUUUUAAAAAAUAAUUCACUUUUUUGGAAAACAAGAUUAUUCAUUUUUUACGAAAAAUUUACAUUUGCAGUUUGGACUUAAAAAUCAAUUUUGCAAAUCAAACAAAAAAAAUCAAUAUUGCGGUUUUGUGGCCUUGGCGGGAACACUUGUUUUUGUGGGUUUUGCAGAAAAACUCAGUUGUUCAGUUUUGGCGAAAAAAUCAAUUUUACGAUUUUGGCAAAAAAAUAAUUUUAUUGCGGAAUUAAAGAAAAAUUCAAUUUUCUCGUUUUGAUGGAAAACUGAAUUUUUUUUAUCUAGAAGGAAAAACUUAUUUUUGCGAUUUUAUCAGAAAACUCAAAUUUGUAAUUCUAACGGGAAAUUUGUUUUUGUGGUCCAAACGGAAAGCCUCAUUUUUACAAUUUUGGUGAAAAAAACUCAAUUUUGUGGUUUUGGAGAAAAAAAUAGUUUUGUGUGGGUUUUGGCGGAAAAACUCAAUUUUGUGAUUUUCACAAUAAAACCUCAGUUUAUGGUUUUGAUGUAUAACUUUAAAUUUACGGUUUUGAUGUAAAAUUUCGAUUUUGCUGUUUUGGUGAAAAACCUUGAUUUUCAGCUUUGUUGAAAAACCUGGAUUUUUCUGUUUUAAAUGAAAACUUUUUUUGCUGUUUUAGUGAAAAAACUUGAUUUUGCGGUUUUGGCAGAAAAAUAUAUUUAUUUUUUUUGGAGGGAAAACUGAAUUUUAGGAUUUUGGCAGGAAAACUCUAUUUUGCGGUUUUGGUGAGAAAAUAAAUUUUAGUGUUUUAACGGGAAAACUUAUUUUACCGUUUUGACAGAAAAACUUGUUUUUAUGGUUUUGACAAGAAAACAUAUUUUUACGGUUUUGACAGUUACGGUUUUGACAGUAAAAUGUGUUUUAUGGUUUUAACAGUUAAACAUGUUUUUGCAGUUUGGUGGGCGAGAAAAUCAUAUUUUACGCUAUUGUUGAAGAGAUUAUUUUUGCCAAACAAUUCAAUUUUGUUGUUUGGGUGGAAAAAAUCGAUUUUAUUGUAUCGGUGGAAAAAUAAAUUUUGUCAUAAUCUUUAAAUUUAGUAUAAAAUUGUGUAAAGCAAAAUAUAUUACAUGGCUAGGAUAACUAGGGGUAGGCGUUCGGGUACCCAUUCGGGUUCGGUUCGGAUCUAUUCGGGUUUCGGGUUUUCGGGUUUAAUGAUUUCAGUCCCAUUCAGGUAUUUCUAAAUUUUGGUUCGGGUUCGGUUUGGAUCUUUGCGGGUUCGGUUCGGGUUCGGAUAACCCAUUUAAAUUAUUUUUAAAAUUUUAAUAUUCAUUAUAUGCUUAAAAUUUCUCAAAAUCUUUAAAACGAAAUAAUCUAUUACAUAUAAAUUUGUAUAAUAUAUGUCAAAAUAGCUAAAAUUGUCAUAUAAAUUGGUUUGAUUUGAAUAUUUAGAUAGAAAAUCAAUCGAUAUUUCAAGUAUCUUGAUGUUUUGAAUAUAUUUUAGCUAUUUUAAACAUUUAUUUUUGAUUAUUUAUAUAUAUUUCAAGUAUUUUAGACAAUUUAAAAGUAUCCUAUAUAUUUUUAUUUUUUUAAUAUAUAUUAAAUUUAAAAAUAAGUAAUAUAUUUAGGUAUAUAAAUCUAUUUCGGUUAUAUUCGGGUAUCCGAGAUGUUUCGAUUCGGGUCGGUUUUGGCUUCGGUUCUUUAGAUACCAAAAUUUUGAACCCGUCCGGAUAUUUAAUCAAUUUCGGUUCGGGUUCGGUACUACUUUUUUGGAUCGGGUUCGGUUCGGUUCUUCGGAUCCUGGAUAACCAUCGAAGCCCAAUAGCUAAUUAUGUUUAACCUUUUUUUUUGUCAUGUUUUAAGGUUAAGAUUUUGAUAAAUGGUUAGGGUAACCCUAUUAGGUUGAGUUCAUUUCAACAUCCUUAGUCUUGGAAGUUAAAAAGACAUUAAUGUGUGACUAAGCGAUGAUAAAGGUAUUAUAUGUUAUGCUUUAUAGAGAAAAAAAAAACUGAUUGUGUGAAAUACUACAUUGAUAUUUGAUUAUUAAACUUCACGAUCCAACUUCCAAGUAAGGUUACACUAAAAUUCUUGUUUAUACUAAGUGUUCUCAGUUUGCUCCAAAUUAUCAUUUUAAUGUAGUCAUUGUUUGUGUUUGUUUGUCGAACUCGUGAAUGCUAGGUGAACGACAUCUAACUGGCGAAUUGAAACCUUAACAUCUGAUAAACAUGAAGCGCUAGCUAUGAGCAGGUAGUGUAUCAUAUUCACACAUUUCUUGAAAUGAUUGAUGGUAGAAGUUCAUUGUAUAUUUUUUCGUGAAAGUGGAAUCUUAUUAAUCUUCACCGGUUGUGGCAAUAACAUAAAACCUAAAUCUUCAUGUUAAUUACCUCAUAAAUUGUAUAUAAUCAUAUCUUCUGUGAUUUUACGUGUUAUAAGUAACUAAUUUUGUUUUUCCGAAUCAGAACGGCCACACUCUUGAUGAAAUGGCGGCUGUUAUCGAAGAACCAAGAUUAAAGAUGAAUUAAUCUACCUACCUCCAAAAAGAGCUAGGCACCGUUUUUAUACUCCAUUGACGAUCAAAGAAGUUACUAAACCGGCCUGAAUUGACAAUCAAAUAUAGGUAAUGGUAUUUUUAUCUUCCUCGUUUAUAUAAUUCUAUAAAGAAGCCUUUAUUAGAGUUUCCUUUUCAAGGUGUGAUGCAGAUCAUGACUUCUUAUCUUCCUUUUUUUUUUUGCUUUGUUGCAUCCAAAUAAAGAUAGGAGAGUUGGUUACAUAAUACCUUAGAUAAAACUUGUGAAAUUAAGUUACAAAAAAAAAAAAACUUGUGAAAUAGCCAAGAGUCUUUGCGUUUGUCUUUACAUCGUCUUCGAUAGUGGGUUGAUCUGGUUGCUUUGUGUUUUUUCCUCGUGGACCCAUUUUUGUUUGUUGCAAAUGUGAGUCUCUCUUGUCUACGAGAUUCUCUAGUCUAUUUUUUUGGGCUGCCAUAAAAUUGCAACAUCCAGGGUUGUCUCAAGAUAAGUCUGCACACGAAUCAAAACAUUGAUGGGAUCGGUAGUAAAUAUGUAUACAUUUAUUUGCAGACCAAGUGAAAUAAGGUACCAGGUACAUUAGAAAAUUUAGACACACUAAUGCAUAUUGACCUCAAAGAAAGUAACAUUCUAUAUUCUGAUGUGAAUCCAAAAUUUGCAAGAUACUGGAAUUUCCAUGAUUUUGGGUUUAUGAAACUUAACGAGGAGCUAAAGAAGUAAUGGAUGCUUGAUCAAUCGAACAGAGAGAAGACUUGUCCACUGAUGAACAUGCUUGAUCUUUCUUACUUCGGAAGAAAAAUCCAGGUGGUCGAGGCACAGCGAGGGAGAUCAAGCUAGUAGUAAGCAUUUGGACGAUUGCUGACAUGGUUGGGCGAUCCUCAGAAUCUUCUUGGACACAUAAUAAGGCGAUAUGGAUGCAUCUAAUUAUUUUGUUGCUUUGAUAACUCUCUCGAAAGGAUGAGUCCACGAGCUCUAGGGGCAAUCCAUUGUUCCAUACCCUCCAAGUCUAUUCAACAUUUUAAGACUUAAUUAUCUUUGUGAUUGUUUAGUAGAGAAGAAAAAUUUGCAGAUUUAAAGUUUUUAUACUCACAUAUGUAACCAAGUUUCCUAAACUACCAUCCAUCUCAAGGAGGCUGCUAUUCUUCCUCACGCUUAUAAUCUCAAGAACUAAGACUCCGAAGCUACAGACAUCUGACUUCAUUUAGAAUUGGCCGUACAUCGCAUACUCAGGGGACAUGUAACCACUGAAACAAUACUAUAUUGAGUUAAUAGAGGCAUAAUAAAGCCUGACAUUCAAUAUAUGGCAAGAUAAAAACUUACUAGGUUCCGACUACUCUUCUCGUAUUUGCUUCGGUUUGGUCCAUUUCAAAUAUUCUUACCAUACCAAAAUCUGCAACUUUGGGGUUCAUAUCAGCGUCCAAGAGAAUGUUACCAGCUUUGAGGUUCCGAUGUAUAAUUGUGAGUCUUAAAUCUUGAUGGAGAUAUAGAAUCCCUCUAGCAAUUACUCCUACGAUCUUAUACCGUCUAGUCCAAUCCAACUGGCUCUGCAAUCUAGGGUCCACACAUCCAUAGAUAGAAUGUAAAAACAUUGGAGUAAAUAUUGUGGCUAAUAAGAAUUGGUUUUAAGUUACCAAACAGGAAGUAAUCGAGGCUUUUAUUAAGCACCAACUCGUAGACAAGUAUCUUCUCUUGUCUCUCAAACAAUAUCCGAGAAGCUUGACCAGAUUUCUGUGCUGAAGCUUUGCCACAAGAACGACUUCAUUCUUGAACUCUUUCUCGCCUUGUCCUGAUGUUUUGGAAAGUCUCUUCACAGCAACUUGUAAUCCAUUUGGAAGUGUCCCCUAAAAAAGAUAGUGAAUUAAACAGUCGUCACCUCAUUUGAAUCUCUAAUGCACCUAAUUAAGAACCUCAGUGAACUGGUAAUACCUUGUAGACUUUUCGGAAUCCACCUUGACCUAGUUUGUUACAUAUCGAAAACUUAUUUUUGGCAGCUUCAAUAACCUUAAAGUCAAACUGUAGUGAGCCUGAAGUUGUAAUGUCAUACCCUUCUGUAAAAAAAAAUAGUAAAAAAAGAUCUAUAUAUAUAAAAAAAUGUAUGCUUCACUCCUAUGCAUCCACGUCAGAUCCACGUCAGAAAGUCGCUUUAUGUGGUGUCAACACCUGUCCCUGUUAGCAAAACUUACCGUAUCAUUUAAUCGUUGGUUGCUUUCUACUUAUUUUCCAUUGGACCUUAAUUUGCGUUGUUUUCUACUUAUUAUUCACAAUUGGGCCUUUAUGUUUUAUUUUAGGUUUCUAAAUUGAUAAUUUGCAUUUUGAGUGUUGGGCUGGUAACAUGAAAUUAAAGUUACUCAUGAUUGUCGAGCUAUUUCUUCAACCAUGGUGAUCUUCAGAUUUCUAGGGUUCCUCUCAUCGUCUUUUUCUUUCUGUAAUUAGGUGGACUGAAUGGAAUUUCUAGACGUCUUGAGGAAUCUCUUUAGCUAGCUCCGUUCGUGUCGUUUUGUCUCGGAUUCUUCUCCUUAGGACCGUUACAGGAUUCAUUGAUUCAACGCCAUUGAAGACCUUCUUUAUUCCUUAGCCCCACUCCAAUCAUAAUUACUCAUUAAAUGCAUUUUACCUCUCUUCGAGGCGGUGGCGAUCCAGUUAUAAAAAGUAGAAUGGCAAACUCAUCGAUUCUCCUCGCUGAGGCUGGCUGGCCGAUGUUCUUUAAAGCAUUUGCCUGCUGAGAUCGAGAUCUAUUACUACUUCGGCUUUCUUUUCCGGACUGAUUAGAAAAAGUAAGAGGUUACUUCUUUAUUUCAGUGGGGUUUCGUUGAGAUAAUUUGUUAUUAAUCUUGAUGUCUUCAUAUUUCCAAAGUGUUUUGCUUUUUCUCCUUUAGGCCAAAUCUUGCUUUUCAGCUAGCAAUUGGUUACCUCAACAGCUUAAACAAGAGAACCCUUUUUAUAUAUAUAGAUUCUUUGAGCUAUGAGAAGCAUGGUGAUCUUGCUGAGAUUAGUGGUACUCAGUCCGUCCUUGGGCCAUUCUGCGACACUGCGUCAUGGUGCGAUGGGCAGAUACGUUUUGUGAUAAUUGUUAUAAACACUAGAAACUCUUGAUUCAGCUUUUGUUUUGGUUAUUCGAGGUGUCAUUUUGUGGGUGCAGGAAAAACUUCUGAAUCUCUUGCUUCGUAACUACCUGCACUACAUCCUUUAUGACCAAGUAGAGAAGUUGAGAUCAAAAGCACCAAGAUUUGAGGCACAUUCUAACCAACAUGUUUAUCUUUUAGUAGUUAUUCUUUCAUACCAAUUCGUUAGUGUAGCUUUCUAGAUUAUAGAUAUAUCGUUUAUAUGAUCUCUUACUUAUGCUAACUUUUCCACAGUCAAUUUUUUCUUCAAAUACGGUGUUUAUAUGUAAGACCAUUGGGUAUGAUUUUUUUCUCUUAUCAGUACUAGCUGUUUUUGUUUCAUGGGACAUCUUCAACUAUUGUAUCUAAUAUGAUAUUCACAUACGCACUCCGGUCAUGCUGGUCGUACCAUAUAUAUGUGUAUAUUUAUAUCUAAAAUGCAAAAAGGUCGAUUGAAUACUGAUAAAACAGGUCUGAUGUGAGAAAAAGACAUGUAUAUGGCAGAUGAAGGGAACCUAAAAGUGAGAAGAGACAAGAGAUACACGAACGUGUUGAAUUUAUAGCUGCUGUCUUUUCAGUUUUCACCAGAAGAAUAGUGUAAGCAUCAAUGAGGAAUCUUAUUCUCCAGCAAAGAAGCUUAAAAAAGGUCCAGACUGCACGAGGUCGUAUUUUAAAUUUACAGCCAUUGCCUGAUUUAUAUGUUCUAGAUGUAAAUUUUUCUGUGGUCGUUUAUUUUAAAAGUUUGUUACUUAGUUUGGUUUUUGUCUUAUUUUUUCAUUUGUAAAUGUUUUCCCAUAAAUUGGUGAGGCGGACAAUAGCACUUUGUUCUUUUGGUUAAUUUUCAGUAAAUAUACUCUUUUUCAUGAUUUCUA
This is a long non-coding RNA of Brassica rapa (field mustard), 14773 nucleotides long. RefSeq lists it as uncharacterized. The record is from RefSeq and is a predicted model, not a curated record. NCBI's taxonomy places the organism in Eukaryota, Viridiplantae, Streptophyta, Magnoliopsida, Brassicales, Brassicaceae.